Molecule: ribosomal RNA, 465 nt
Filed under: uncultured bacterium
Lineage: Bacteria
Description: partial 16S ribosomal RNA
Rfam family: Bacterial small subunit ribosomal RNA
Source: RNAcentral
CUACGGGGGGCAGCAGUCGAGAGGCUUCGUCAAUGGGGGCAACCCUGAACGAGCGACGCCGCGUGAGCGAUGAAGGUCGUAAGAUCGUAAAGCUCUGUUAGUGGGGAAGAAACCCCGGGGUGCUAAUACCACCACGGCUUGACGUUACCCACAAAGAAAGCUCCGGCUAACUCCGUGCCAGCAGCCGCGGUAACACGGGGGGAGCAAACGUUGUUCGGAAUCACUGGGCGUAAAGGGCGCGUAGGCGGCCUGGUCAGUGAAACGUGAAAGCCCCUGGCUCAACCAGGGAAUGUCGUUUCAUACUGCCAGGCUUGAGGACGGGAGAGGAGAGGGGAAUUCCCGGUGUAGCGGUGAAAUGCACUGAUAUCGGGAGGAACACCAGUGGCGAAGGCGCCUCUCUGGCCCGUUCCUGACGCUCAGGCGCGAAAGCAGGGGGAGCAAACAGGAUUAGAUACCCGGGUAGUC